AAAGAGAUUAAUUGAGGAUGACUAGCCAAUGAUUAUAAAGGAGGUAUAAAUACCAAAUAUCCUAGCUAAUAAUUUCAAGCUUAGCUAAAUCUAGGAUUAUCCUAUGGGAAACCAAAAAUUUUUAAAUAAAUAAACAACCUUAUGAACUGAAACAUCUAAGUAAUAAGAGGAAAAAAAAUCAACUGAGAUUCUGCUAGUAGUGGUGAGCGAAAACAGAUAAGCCUGCCGGCAUAAAGCUGGCUAUAAUAUAUAAUUUAAUUGUGAAUAAUUAAUUUCUUCCCUGGUAUCAUAUAGGUGCUUUGGGAUUAAUGAAAUUUCUGGAAGUGAAAUAUACCAAAGAGGGUGAUAGUCCCGUAAUAAUUAAAUUAUAAUUUGUUUACCUGUUGCUUUUGCAAUGGGUAAUAAUUACAAAUAAUUAUGCUCUAAGCAUAAUUUAUAUAAAAAAAAGUAAGAUGGAAGAUAAUCUGUCUGAAUAAGGGGAACCAUCCUCUAAGGCUAAAUAUGAAUCAUUGAGCGAUAGUGAAUAGUACCGUGAGGGAAACGUUGAAAAGCAAGUAGAUAACUGGUGAAAUAGAUCCUGAAUCAAUAAUCUUAUAAGCAGUCGGAGUAUGAAAUAAAUAAAAUAGUAUGACGACGUACCUUUUGCAUCAUGGGUCAGCGAGUUUAUAGGUAGUGCAAGUAAAUUUGAUGAAAUAAGAAAUUUUUUAUAAUAAUUAAAUACUUAGUGAAAGCGAUCAUAAAUUAUUUAUUAAUUUAUGAGGAAAGUACUAUAUAUAAGACCCGAAACUAGGCGAUCUUACCAUGGCCAGGUGUAAGACCGAACCAACUACUGUUGCAAUAGUACUGGAUGAGCUGUGGUAGGGAGUGAAAGGCUAAUCUUGCCUAGAGAUAGCUGGUAUUCUGCGAAACCUAUUUAGGUAGGAUCUAUAUUUGAAUUAUAGCAAGUAGUGCUCUGCUUUUAGCAAUCCAUUUGUCAUUAUGACAAAUGGGAUUGUAUUGAAAAAUACAAUUUAUAUUAAAUGGGGGGAUUAUUAUGAUUCUAUCCACUGAAGGCAAUCAAACCAAUGGUUAUAAAUUCAAGAUAUAGGGUCAGACUAUGGGUGCUAAGGCCGAUAGUCGAAUGGGGAAGAGCCCAGAAUAGUAACUAAGGUCCCUAAAUAAAUACUAAGUGAAUAUAAGGUAGUGUCGUAUAGAAAACAUCCAUUAUGUAGGCUUGGAGGCAGCAAUCAUUUAGAGAAAGCGUAAAUGCUCAAUGGUCUUUUUAAUAUAUGAUGCACCAAUAAUUUAACGGGUCUAAAGUAUUUUACCGAUGUUCUAUCUGCAAAAUAAUAUUAAUAAUAUAUCUAUCUGGUAAACAGAGUAGAUGAUUUCUAAUGAAAUAUUAUAAAAAUUUGCUGGGUAGCAGAACAUACUAUAAAUGGAAUGAAGGGUAUUUUUUAAUUACCUUGACAUAAUAGUAGAGAUUAUGCUGACAUGAGUAACGCAAAAGCAUUAAAAUAUGCUUCACCGAAUGCCUAAGGGUUCCAUAGAAAAAUUAAAUUGCUAUGGGUUAAACGGUCUCUAAGAAUAUAAGCGAAAGCUUUGAUUGAUGAGGAAUUUAUUAUAAAUAUAUUUAAUAAAAAAUAAAUUUAUUAAAACUAAUUGAUUUAUUUUUUUUAUUUAUACAGGAAAAAAUAAUAUAAAAUAUACCGUACUCUAAACCGACACUGGUAGGCAGGUAGAAUAUACUAAGGUGUUGAGAGAACUCUCCUGAAGGAACUAGGCAAAAUAACUCUGUAAUUUCGAAAGAAAGAGUGGCUAUUAAAUUAUAUUUAAUAGCUGGCACAUAAAUGUGAGGUACGACUGUUUACUAAAAACACAGCACUUUGCUAACAUAAAAAUGGAUGUAUAAAGUGUGAUACCUGCUCAAUGCCAAACGUAUAAAAUUUUUGGUUUUACGAUCAAAAAUUAAACAUUGGUCAAUAGCGGCUGUAACUAUGACAGUCCUAAGGUAGCGAAAUACCUAGUCGGAUAAUUGCCGACGUGCAUGAAUGGUUUAACGAUACUUCAACUGUCUCCAGGAGAGACUCAGUGAAAUUGAAUUAACCGUGAUGAUGCGGUUUACCUACAGCUAGACACGAAGACCCUAUGAAGCUUUACUGUAGUUAAUUAUUGUUAAUUUUUUAUUAAGAUACAGCAAUAAGGUAGUUGAUUAAACAAAACUGAGAGCCCUUAACUUAAUAUAAAAUUAACUAAGAUAGUAUUUAAUCUUUAUAUAACUUUUCCUUGUGCCGUUAGGUAAAGAUCUUAAAAAUCUUUGAUUUUUAGGUUCUUAUAAGUAGAAAUAUAUAAAGUUUAUUGAAUAUUCUUCCUUGAUAAAAUCAAGGACCUGGAAAAUUUUAUAAAUAAUAUUAUUUAUAAAGGUUCCCCAAAGGGAAAAUGAUUAAUUGGCAGUUUACCUGGGGCGGGAUUCUCAUAAAUAGUAUCUGAGAAGUACAAAGGUUUGUUUAAAUUGGAUGGAAACCAAUGGGUUUAUGAUAACCUAAUAAAGCGUAAUGGUAUAAACAAGCUUAACUGUAAGACAAAAAAGUCGAACAGACGCGUAAGCGGGUCAUAGUGAUCCGAUAGUUUCAUUAUGGAAUGGCUAUCGCACAACUGAUAAAAGUUACUCUAGGGAUAACAGGCUAGUCACUGACGAGAGUCCAUAUUGACUCAGUGGUCCGGCACCUCGAUGUCGACUCAUCUUUUCCUGGGGGUUGUAGUUGCUCCCAAGGGUUCGACUGUUCGUCGAGUAAAAAGGUACGUGAGUUGGGUUUAAUACGAUGUGAAUCAGUAUUGAUUAUAUCUACUGUAGGAAUUAGAAUAAGAAUGGCAGUUUAUCUUAGUACGCAAGGACCAGAUUAAGUGCACCUAUGGUUUACCAGUUGUAUAACAUUUGAAUAAAUGAAUGCAUGGCUGGAAAGCUAUGUGCAUAAAUGAUAACUACUGAAAGCAUAUAAGUAGGAAACAGAGCUAUGAAUUAUUCUUUUCCUUUCAUCUUUUGGAUGUAAAGGAAGUAAAAUUAGCAAUAGACUAUUGCUUUGAUAGGCUACCUAAUUAUCUUUAAAAAGAUAAGGGAUAAUUAAUUAAAAAUUAAUUAAGAGGU
Molecule: ribosomal RNA, 3124 nt
Filed under: Mortierella alpina
Lineage: Eukaryota; Fungi; Mortierellomycota; Mortierellomycetes; Mortierellales; Mortierellaceae
Description: bacterial LSU rRNA
Rfam family: Bacterial large subunit ribosomal RNA
Source: RNAcentral